This is a long non-coding RNA of Sarcophilus harrisii (Tasmanian devil), 3148 nucleotides long. RefSeq lists it as uncharacterized. NCBI's taxonomy places the organism in Eukaryota, Metazoa, Chordata, Mammalia, Dasyuromorphia, Dasyuridae. The record is from RefSeq and is a predicted model, not a curated record. The transcript has 3 exons.
AUGUAUUUUAUUUUAUGUAUUCAAAAACAUUAUUCUGAGAAGGAUGCAUAGGCUUCCCAGACUGACCAAGGAAUACCUGACACGUAAAAGGUUAAGAACCUUGGUCCUAGAAGGCCCUCUAGAUUUUACCAGCACUUGCAGACUUAACUCGUGCCUGUGGGAGGAAUGGUAUAGUUUUCAGCUAGUCUUUCACUUUCUUUCUAGGUGCUUGCCUAUGUAACCGUUAAAUGCAGUCUGUAUGUCUAUCAGGUCCUGCCCCUGUCUGUCUUUGUCUCUUUCUGUCCCUUUCUCUUUUCCUGGCUUUUCUCUCUUUUAGUCUCAUUCUAUCUCAAUCUGUCUCUUCUGUCUUAUUGGUUCCUUGCCCUCCUUCUCCGAGCUCUCUCUCCCCCCCCCCCCUUUUGUGGAUUUGGAGGGAAUUGUAAACCAUGUUUAAUUUAACGGAUGCUUUAGGAUUUUCACUCGAUCCUUCCCAAGUAAUAAUUGUCAGAUCACAUAUCUGCUAGUUGAGUUCUUUCUGUUAAGCCAAAACGUGCUUUCUGUAGUGUUAUGUGAGGAAACUUUACUGGCAGAGGGACUGCAAAGAGUCCAAGAGUCUGGUGGGAAGAGAUAGGGGUUAAUUUCCUGGAUUACUGAUUUUCUUCUACUUGUGAAUUUAAUUGUAUUCUACACGGCACAUGAUAUUUUAUGGCUAAUACUGAAAUUCCAAGACCUAAUAAGUGUAACCUCAAAGUCGUUUGAAUCCCUCUAUUUGUUUUUCCAAAAAUUUUAAACAAAGGACAGAAGCUUUCCUCUAUCAAUAUGGACCACUAACAAAAUUACAUCCUUAUGGUUUAGGAAUCUUUGGGACAAAAUCAUUUGUGGUGAAAUCUGAAAAUGUCUGAUGGAAGCCUGAAGUUUCUGAUGUUUUUCUUUGUUGUUGUUUUUUCCCCUUUCUUUUGGUUCCCAAUUGAAGGAGAAGGAGCUAUUUUUUUCAUUCCUCUCCUUAGACCCUAUUCCCAAGCCAUCUAAGCUAAUGCUGGGGCACCUGCUCUGUUUACACUGCUCCUGAACUUAGUGUCACUGUCGCUAGUUCCAUAACCCUGCUGUAACAGGCUCCAUCUGUUGCCAAACUCACCUAGGCUCAAGAUCAAUCCCAAAGUCUUAAAGCUUUUAACCUUUUGGUAAAGUGGCAUUGUUUCUGAGAAACUCCAAAUACAUCUUGACCUUUCUCUGUCCCUUAGAACCCAUUCGUCAGAAUAUGCAGCAUGAAUGGUAGCUGUAAAAAUGACUUGAGAUGAAGAUGUUCCUAGCCUAGUGGUCUUACUCCUUUACAUCUCCUCUCCCUUCCCUACCCAACUCAAUUUCCUAAUGGCUCUUUUCCUAUUUCUGCUGCAGCAUAAUUUCUUUCCACAUUUGUUAUGAACAGCUCUGUUUAUUUUAGCAAACUGAAAAUCUACUUCAAGUCAGAGGGACUAAAGGAGACCUGUCCAUGAUUAGGAGGAUUUUUUUUUCUUUGGCUUCCCUCAGAGUCUCUUAGGAACCCCCCCCCCCCCAAACAAACAAACAAACAAAAAUAACCCAACUUACACAGAGCACUUCAGGGGUAUCUGACCAUAGUUUUUAAGAUGGGUGUGCAAACACUUCCAUGCUUCCUCCAACUAGCAACUAAAGUGUGGCUCUUGCAGGAAACCCCUUUUCUGAUCACUUGUCCCCCUUCUCAGAUUUAUAUCUAUUGUUCUCUACCUGGGCAUAUUUAGAAGAAAACUGCAGGGUAUCCACCAACUGAUGGUUUAAAAAAAAGGGAGGUAGAAAAAAAGAAUAGUUUAUUUCUCUAACAUUUUCCAAAGGACGACUGUCCAAUUCAACCUUGUGAUCUUGGGAGGAGGUUUGGGAAAAAGGAGGGGGCAAGAGGAGAGAGAAAGUGGCUUCAGUGUGCCAACAAGCAAGGCAUCUGAUCUUGCUGCGAUAAGAUCAGCUUUCUGUUCAGUUCUCCCGGCGGCCAAGUGUUUGCGGCCAGCCGUGGUAACGCGUUUGUUUACAAAAUCCCACUGGCUAGAAGGUGUGCUCUCCUUCCAGCCCCUAAUUUCCACCCCCACCCCAUCACCAGCCCACCGUUAACCCUUCGUGUGCCCUCGCUCCUGGAUGCCUGGCGCCUGAGCUGGAAGCUUGGCCUGCAGUCGCUGUGUGCGAAUGGGGGCACUGCCCGGCUUCCCAAAAUCCUGCGGGAGCUUUGUUUGAGUGGCGAGCAGAGGGUGUGAGCCUUUGAUAUGCGUCCCCCCCCAAAAAAAAAAAGAGGGAGUGAGGGGUGGUGGAGGAGAAAACAAUAAUAAAAACAAAACCGGGCUAAAGCACUCCCUCUCCCCCUCGGCCCUCCUUGUUUCCCACCCCCUUGUAACUUUCAGUCUCCAGUGAGAUUCUGCGGGGUCUCUCAUACUACACACAGCUGCUGGGAAUCUUUCCCGAAAUCUAGAAAGGCAUGGGACUCGUAGCCAAGCCUGGUUCAAGACAAAGUCUUGACAUAGAACCCAUUGUUGCACCUCAGAUGUUGGGAAUUGGAAUCCACAUAACAGAACGUCAUGCAGAUAUUGAGUAUCUUCCCUUACAAUGGGCUAGGUGAGAAGAGGGAGGGCUCCUCAUUUUCUUCAGCAAACAACCUUUUAUAAGGAUUUUGGCAAAAGGGGAAGCUAAAGAUGAAGAAGCAAGUUAAUAGGGAAAAAGGACAUUUUUUUCAGCAGUACAAAUCAGAUCCCAUGUCUCUCUUAUUAUCUCUAGGAUAAAUAUCUUUGAGAGGGCUCAUUAUUAUCUGAUUAAUUUCUAUUUUUCCAUUAUUUUUAUCCGUUAAUUCCAUAUAUAUCAGCUCUACUAACCUCUUUGCUCUUCAUCAGACAUGACCAUUUGUUUAUUGUCCUAUUGCCUUUUUUAUAUCCUAUUAUUAUCCUAUGCCCUUUGUCUGAUAGUCUCUUAUAUUUAGAUUUUUCUCUCUGUCCUUACCUCUACUUCUCCAGAGUCCUUUGCUUCCUCCAGAACUCAUUUCAAGGGUUACUUUCAUCUGGUGGGCUAUCCUAGUACUUUCAAUUAUUCCUGCCUUCCCAUCCAACAUUACCUUGGAUCUGCUUUGGAUAUGUCUUAUACAUAUUAUAUAUGUACAUAUUGCCUCACCAACAGAAAU